CCUGCCUGUACACAUAUAUAUACAAAAAUAAAGAGUAUUUAAUACAGUGCUUAUUCCUACCAACAUUGAAGUACAGAACACUGUUGCUGGUCACAGGUGCAGCUCUGUGCACUAGACCUUGUGUAACAGACACUUCUCAUCCCGUGUGCCUCCUCUGCUGUCUCCCCUCCAUACUGUCUCAACUGCCCAUCUACUCUGUGCUUUCUGAGGGUUAGUUUAACUUCCUCCUUUUUGCAAAUAACACCACAACUUCCAGGUCUGUCCAUGUUGUCUAGGUGGAAGAUCUACCACAAGGCAUUAUUUCCAUAGAUAUUCCAGAUGCUCUUAAUCCACUCACCUGCCAAUGUCAAUACAGGUUGCUUCCAUGUUCUGGCUAUUGGGAGGACUGCUGGAGUGGACAGGUGAGAGGGUGACUCUUCCGCAUCCUGACGUCAGUAUCUUCUGUUAAACAGCUAGAUCUAGACUGCUUUGCUGUAUGCUGCUUCCACAGUAGCACUGUGGGAUGUGGUCCUCUCUUCUCCCUCCCCUUCUCCCUCCUCUCCUCUCCUCUCCUCUCCUCUCUCCCCUUCCCUCCUGCCCACUCCUCUCUUCUCCCCUUCCCUCUUUCCCUUCUUCUUUCUCCCUGCUCCAUCCUCCUUUUUCUCCUUCCUUCCUCGUUCUCUUCCUUCUUCCUUUCUUCUCUUCCUCCCCCUCUCUGCUCUUCUCUUCCCCCUGCCCUCCUCUCCCCCUUCAAGAAAGGCUUCACAGAUGUCCUCCACUUUCAAGAAGCAUCGGAACCCCAACAGAUAACAACUCUUGGCUGGGAUUUCCCAGGACUUGGAAGGCAGUCAUGCUGCUGAAGACUCUGGAUGGAUCCACUCCAUCAUUUCCAUCACUCUCAUCUGGAAGUGCAGCCCCUGCCACAGCUUUGGCCUGGAGACCCUCUCUGGACUGUCAACGCGCAUGCGUCUGUGGGCGGAGCAUCGCUGCUCGCAGCACUUGGCAGCAGCAGUUUUUAAUUCGAGAGUUGAGCCCAGGGGCUGGAGGCCUUGCUUCAUCUCACCAGCAAGCUGUCCCUAGUGAAUGCAUCUGAUUCCAGGAAACUCUCUUUUCUGUGAGUCAGGAAACAUCCAUCCAGACUGUCUGAAUUAUCAAAGAAAAAAGAAAAAAAAAAUCUUGAGCUGAUGGCAUCCGAAUGAAUCAGUUACAGGGCUGGACCGGGGAGCUGAUUGGAGCUGUCAGGUUCCCUGUGGAGAGACAGCCCUGGGAGACUCUGCUCAAAGAGUGCCAGGACAUCAACAAUCAACAAGCUUUCAGGUGAAUUUCACAACACCUGUGGGAGGGGGAGCCCUCCAGCUCCUUACUGUUCUUAAUAACUCAGAGUCCAGUUAGUGAUGCACACAUGUGCAUGGGCGUGUGGCCACCCUCUGGGCCAUGAAUAACAUACUCCAUAUUCCCUGGAGAGAGUGACCCCCAUUCUGCCAGCAACCAUAACCGCCAAUAGCUGUGUCUUCUCAGGGAACUCUCCACCCAAGCUGGACUUAUGAGUGGCUUGACCUUGUGCAGGUGACCCCAGCUGUUGCGAGCUGAUGCUUGAGACAGCCAUGUCAGCUCUGAAAGCCAGCAUUUCACAGCUCUCCUCCCAUGCUGAUUCUCUCUUCUGUGAGGUUCUCGAGCUGUGGAUUGAGGGAGGGAGGUAGACAUAGAAGAUAGCUCUAGCGUUACCCCCAUUCAAGUCUCUUUUCUUGUACCAUGCAGCUUCUGAGAGCUUAACCCAUGACCAUUCACAGGUUUGGGUGAGCAUUCAUAGACACCAUACAUUGUGUCAGGAUCAUGACAUUCCGGGAUGUCACUCAAGAGCUGGGGUGACAGACCCUUACUCUGUGGACUGGGACAUGUUGAGAUAACAGUGCGGAUCUGGGAACAAGGAGAACUGUGGGUUCAAAUCCCUACACACCACUUAUUAAUCACAGUGCCUUGGGCAAGCUGUUUACAUUUCUGAGCCUCCGUGUUUUGACAUUUCAUUUGACAAGGCUGGUAUCCACAGUCCACCAGUGGU
Mus spicilegus (steppe mouse) is the source of this 2038-nucleotide long non-coding RNA. The record is from Ensembl. Lineage: Eukaryota; Metazoa; Chordata; Mammalia; Rodentia; Muridae.